ACAUACCUCUGGAGAGCGCUGAAAAGCCACCAAAGGGGAAUACUCCACGCCACAAGGCGGUGGUAAACUCUCAGGUAAAAGGACAGAGGAAA
RNAcentral lists this non-coding RNA (92 nucleotides) under Brevibacillus massiliensis. Its description in RNAcentral is "Glycine riboswitch". It matches the Rfam family "Glycine riboswitch aptamer". From Rfam's summary of the family: This family represents the bacterial glycine riboswitch. Glycine riboswitches usually consist of two metabolite-binding aptamers domains with similar structures in tandem. Lineage: Bacteria; Bacillati; Bacillota; Bacilli; Caryophanales; Paenibacillaceae. The record is from RNAcentral.